This 399-nucleotide ribosomal RNA is filed under the name Pandoraea sp. 1(2010). RNAcentral's name for it is "bacterial SSU rRNA". It matches the Rfam family "Bacterial small subunit ribosomal RNA", at positions 983 to 1386 of the family's 1533-position model. The record is from RNAcentral. Lineage: Bacteria; Pseudomonadati; Pseudomonadota; Betaproteobacteria; Burkholderiales; Burkholderiaceae.
GACAUGUACGGAAUCCUGCUGAGAGGUGGGAGUGCUCGAAAGAGAACCGUAACACAGGUGCUGCAUGGCUGUCGUCAGCUCGUGUCGUGAGAUGUUGGGUUAAGUCCCGCAACGAGCGCAACCCUUGUCCUUAGUUGCUACGCAAGAGCACUCUAAGGAGACUGCCGGUGACAAACCGGAGGAAGGUGGGGAUGACGUCAAGUCCUCAUGGCCCUUAUGGGUAGGGCUUCACACGUCAUACAAUGGUCGGUACAGAGGGCUGCCAAACCGCGAGGUGGAGCUAACCCCAGAAAACCGAUCGUAGUCCGGAUCGCAGUCUGCAACUCGACUGCGUGAAGCUGGAAUCGCUAGUAAUCGCGGAUCAGCAUGUCGCGGUGAAUACGUUCCCGGGUCUUGUAC